GCAUGGCUGUGGUCAGCUCGUGUCGUGAGAUGUCGCGUUAAGUCGCUUAACGAGCGAAACCCUUGUCCCUAGUUGCCAGCGAGUCAUGUCGGGGACUCUAGGGAGACUGCCGGUGUUAAACCGUAGGAAGGUGGGGAUGACGUCAAGUCCUCAUGGCCUUUAUGAUUAGGGCUGCACACGUCCUACAAUGGCACACACAAAGGGAAGCAAACUCGUGAGAGCCAGCAAAUCCCAAAAAAUGUGCCUCAGUUCGGAUUGCAGGCUGCAACCCGCCUGCAUGAAGCUGGAAUCGGUAGUGAUCUGCGGGUCAGCAUACCGCGGUGAAUGUGUUGCCUGAGCCUUGUACACACCGCCCGUCAAGCCACGAAAGUGGGGGGCAUGCCGAAGUCGCCGAGGCAACCCGCAAGGGAGGCAAGCGCCGAA
RNAcentral lists this ribosomal RNA (423 nucleotides) under uncultured Planctomycetota bacterium. Its description in RNAcentral is "bacterial SSU rRNA". It matches the Rfam family "Bacterial small subunit ribosomal RNA", at positions 1043 to 1460 of the family's 1533-position model. Lineage: Bacteria; Pseudomonadati; Planctomycetota. The record is from RNAcentral.